GAGAGCUCCAUUUGAUCUUUUUGAUACCAAGAAAAAGCCUAAUAACAUCAAGCUUUAUGUCCGCCGUGUCUUCAUCAUGGAUAACUGCGAAGAACUGAUCCCGGAGUACCUUAGCUUUGUCAAGGGUAUUGUCGACUCUGAGGACCUCCCUCUCAACAUUUCCAGGGAGACGCUUCAGCAGAACAAGAUCCUCAAGGUUAUCCGUAAGAACUUGGUCAAGAAGUGCAUUGAGCUCUUCU
Molecule: unclassified non-coding RNA, 239 nt
Filed under: Hevea brasiliensis (rubber tree)
Lineage: Eukaryota; Viridiplantae; Streptophyta; Magnoliopsida; Malpighiales; Euphorbiaceae
Source: RNAcentral